This 465-nucleotide ribosomal RNA is filed under the name Vreelandella stevensii. RNAcentral describes it as "partial 16S ribosomal RNA". It matches the Rfam family "Bacterial small subunit ribosomal RNA", at positions 338 to 795 of the family's 1533-position model. The record is from RNAcentral. Lineage: Bacteria; Pseudomonadati; Pseudomonadota; Gammaproteobacteria; Oceanospirillales; Halomonadaceae.
CCUACGGGCGGCAGCAGUGUGGAAUAUUGGACAAUGGGCGAAAGCCUGAUCCAGCCAUGCCGCGUGUGUGAAGAAGGCCUUCGGGUUGUAAAGCACUUUCAGCGGGGAAGAAAGCCUUGGGGCUAAUACCCUCGAGGAAGGACAUCACCCACAGAAGAAGCACCGGCUAACUCCGUGCCAGCAGCCGCGGUAAUACGGAGGGUGCGAGCGUUAAUCGGAAUUACUGGGCGUAAAGCGCGCGUAGGCGGUCUGAUAAGCCGGUUGUGAAAGCCCCGGGCUCAACCUGGGAACGGCAUCCGGAACUGUCAGGCUAGAGUGCAGGAGAGGAAGGUAGAAUUCCCGGUGUAGCGGUGAAAUGCGUAGAGAUCGGGAGGAAUACCAGUGGCGAAGGCGGCCUUCUGGACUGACACUGACGCUGAGGUGCGAAAGCGUGGGUAGCAAACAGGAUUAGAUACCCCAGUAGUC